UAGGGUAGUCAUACAAUAUCCACUCUUUCUAUAAAGAAGAAGCAUCUUAAUUUUAUAUUUAAUUUACAAAGCUGGUUGGAAAACAAUCUGUUGAAUGAAUGCAUAUGGAGAAGUUUAUAGAGUAUCUGAAACAAGGAACAGAAGAUACAAGCCUUUUCUUAGUUCCCUAGCACCUUCCACUACAGAAAUGUCUGUGAUACUCACUGUAUCCAGAAAAUGGCAACAAAAGAGGAAAUGGAGAACCUUAAUGGAUAUUGUUUCCAAGGAAACAAAGCAUCGGAGAAUAGAAGAAAGCCAAGAGGGAUGUAAUUUCUUUUCCCCAAGAAAACAAGCAUAAAAGCAACCAAACUGGAUCGUUUGGAGGAACUUAAGUCAGAAGCAGGCCAACCCUAUAGAAAUGGACCUAGCAAAGACUACAGCAGACACUCAGUUUGGGAGAAGAGACCACCCCUUAAGAGAUUUAUUUAAUGCCUUCAUUUGUUACGUGGCUAAGGGAAUUAGUGUGUGAUAGAGUGCUGCUGGCAAGUUCUGAACUGCAGGGAAGAUGGCUGAAGAAAGAUUUCAAAGCUGUAUGAUGAUACUGGCAUGACAAAUGGAGCUUGAUUGCCUCAGAAAGGAACUGCUGUGGAAGAGAAAAAGGGGAUGGAGACUCUCUGGGAUCCUGCAUCAAUGGUAUCACUUGAAAAACUGAAGAAUCUUGCCAUCAAGAGGCAAGGAACUUUGAAUGCCUCCAAGAUAUCCCCACGUUAACAUUUUAAACGUGCACUUUUGAAGUAAAUCCAAUUUUACCCACAGCUACUGCACUUGAAUUCACAUUUCUGUGUUGGAUUACACAAAAAGUAGAAUGCUCUUAUUUGAAACUAAAAAGCAAAAGGUGUGUUCCCAUGCAGCCACUAAUGGGUAUUCUGUCUGUAAGAGCAAACUAGACUUAGUUCAAAAUAUGUGCCAUGCCUCAACAUGUGUACUGUAGAUAUCAAGUCCUUAGCACAAACUCUUUCACUAUAAAAAUGUGCUCCUCUUGAGCUUCAUAGCUUCAGAAAUCAUGCGAAUAUUUACUUUACAAGGAAGACUGAGACUGAGUUAUUUUUCUUGGUGGCUGUUUCAUUUCUUCAUACUUCCUUGAGUUUGAGAUGGCCUGCACACUUGAUCUUAAAAGACAUCAAUGUAUGUCUAUAAAGCACUUGAAAACAAAAUAGUGUUACAAUUCCUCAUAAAUUUUAUACAUAAAUUACUUUAAUUGCCACUGGAAUGCAAAAAGAACUUUAAACUGUAUUGCCAGUUUUUUUUUUUAAACUAAAUUCAUAUUACUUCAUAUUUUCAAUUCUGGUAUUUAAUUUGGCUCUAUGGGGUAUUCCCCAAGACAUACUGGAUGCACAAAAUACAAAGUAUUUAUAAUUUAAUGCUGUGCAGAAUUAUUGGUUUUAUUUUCAUUCAUCAAGAAAUAUGCAGUCCCACAUGGAUUCCACCCAUGAUCAAUAUGGUAACAUAGCACACACAAGUAAAGAAAUAUUCACAGAAAAGAAGAUGAGGUUUCUUAUAAAUCAAGGGGUACAAACUUUGAUAGUAUUUUAACUUUUGCAACAGAUUGUCCAAAAAUUAACAGCAUAAGGCAACAUUCUCCCUCCUUUUCUAAUUACUGUUGAGGAAGAUGGUAUGUUUCUAGCUAAUUGCCCAGUUAUACACUGCAUAUUACAAUAAAGCAUACAAGAUAGCAAGCUGACAUUUAUUCAUGAGGGCUGUGUAACAAAAGCUGCCAAUUGCUUUUCUUUGCCUAAGUCAUUUUAGAAUAAUAGGAGAUAUAUCAUUGUGCCAGUCCUGAAUUCAUGGAAAUUAUAAGGUAUAUCCCCCAAAAUCACUGUCUUUAUACUCUGGAAAAUAUUUAAUAUACCUUUCUAUUGUAAACACCAAGUUAACAUCAUAUUCUAGGUAAUGUUUACCCACACACAUUUUAAAAAAUAUUGAAACUGAUAAGGGAAAGAAAGAUGAAGUGAUAUACAUCUUGGGAAAAUACAGAACAAGAGAUAUAAUAUUUAUUUCAGAAUCUGCUAAAAACCUUUUUAAUGUUAAAGUUUAGAAAACAAAACUCUAUGAUCUUAGUUUCUGGCAUAAUAUAUCGUGUUUUAAAAGUAUCCAUUUAGCUAUGACUCUUACAUCUCAACAUAUGGAUUUCAGUCGAUAAAGUUAUCUUAACUCAAUAUAAGACUUUGAGAAAGUAUGUUAAAUUUUUCAGAAAUCAUUUGGAAACUGUUAUUGAGGGGUUGAACACUGAAUGAUUGAAGACCAAUGGAAAGAUGAAUGUAGGUUGUUUUAUAAAGAAUAUGGGAUAUUAAGAGUUUCAAAAGAGUGAGUGUGCAUGCUCCAGAAGUUUUAUAUUAGGAAAUGGUCAAAUAUUCUAUCUUCAAAUGGAAUGUUUUUUCAAUUUCUCAAAAUAUAUGGGAUUUAUUAUGUCUAUUUGUACCAUAAGCAUAAAGAUGAAGAUAAUAUUUUCUUUGUAUAAGUAGACUGUGAGGACUAUGAGGAUUUGGAAAAUAAAAUGAUUAUGUUAAAGGUGACAUUCAAACAGAAAUGUAAGUACAUUUUUAUAAUGAUUUGCAUGAGUUUAUAUCCAUAAAACAAAGAUAUAUUCAAAUUUAUUAAAGCCCAAAAUGAGCAUCUUUUAAAAUAAUACACUAAACUGCUGAGGACAUUAGAAAUAUGUAUUUUAGGGAAAAAGAAGAAUUACUAAAGAAAAUGGGGUUCCUCUGAGAUGUAAUAUGAAGUUCUUUUCUUCAUCCUACUUUUCUUUUUCUUUUGCAGUUACUUUUUUUUUU
Rhea pennata is the source of this 2810-nucleotide long non-coding RNA. RefSeq lists it as uncharacterized. Lineage: Eukaryota; Metazoa; Chordata; Aves; Rheiformes; Rheidae. The transcript is spliced from 3 exons. The record is from RefSeq and is a predicted model, not a curated record.